Long non-coding RNA from Megalobrama amblycephala (Wuchang bream), 1456 nucleotides. RefSeq lists it as uncharacterized. The transcript is spliced from 4 exons. Lineage: Eukaryota; Metazoa; Chordata; Actinopteri; Cypriniformes; Xenocyprididae. The record is from RefSeq and is a predicted model, not a curated record.
GCUCUAAUAUUAAAAUGGCUCUUGUUUCUUUCUCAUUCCCACAGCUGUAGGGGAACUUCUCAAACGUGGCUCCCCAAAAUGCUCAUCAGUCAAGCUCAAGCUGAUAUAUUAACGCAGACUCCUGUGGAUUUGAUUCAGCAUAACAAGUAGUUAUAGGCCUAUAUCAUAGCACUCACCCAAUUUGGCAUUCAAUUCUGAGCUUUAUAUAACACAAAGAAAUAUAUUACAGGCCUACAGUCAGACGAUACUUUGUCUCAUUCCUACUGUUUGUCUUUCUCUUAGCCUACCAUACAUCUCAUUCUCAUCAAUAUCCAUGAGAGUGAAAAUUAUAGCCUUGCACUCGACGACUGUCCUGAGAGAAAUGCAUUGAUAAACAGAUAGAGCUGCUUCAUCUCUUGUUUAAAGGGUAAGUGGCACUUAGACAGGCAAUGCAAAAGCAUUAAUGCAAAAUUCUCCCUCCCACCUUCAAAUUCUCCACAGUCGUCGUGUCCUCUGAGAACUCAACAAGUUUCAGAAAACAAAAGAUGGCACAUAAAACUGAAGAGGAGGGAGGAAAAUAAAACAAACUCAGGGAAAAAUGACGAGAGAGUCAACGACAGACGUAUGAAGAGGGUUGAGAUGAAUAGAGGACUCUACAUCACAGCUGGUGCCAAUUCCAUUAAAGCCUCCGACAGCAAACAACUGACCGUCAACUACCUGGAUUUUUGAGGAAGGAAUUAAGAGUCUCCAGCAGAAGAGUGUGGAGUCAUGGUUCCCUGUGCUGUUUGUUUCUCAUUGGACUAUCUGUCAGCAGACGACACUCAGCCCAUUGCAUUCUCCUCGCUUCCAAGGUCUGCCAUUUACCAUCUUCUACCCACGAUUCUGACCAUUUUGCUUAAAUAUUUCUCUGUUUCUAAAUAAACUACAGGACCCUUAUUAUUUUCUGACAAAAUGUAAAAAGUUUCUGGCUUAACUGCCUGGUAAAACAUUUACAACUGAUCUUUAGAUGCCUCUGCAUUUGUUUGAGUCUAUUUUACAUGCUUGAUGGUUUAGAGUUUAACCCUUUCAUUUCAAUUCUGCCUGCAUUACAGGAUAAGAAAUCUCUUAGUGUUUUUCUCUGUUUGAAUGAAAAAAAUAAUGGCAUAGAACCAGUUAAUUAAUAGUGCACUUAAAACAUAGUUUUAUAUAAUUAGUUUAAAUUUAUGUUAAUAAAAAUGUAACACGUUAUUUAAGAUAAACACAUCUGGUAUUUGGUACAUUCUUGCUAGUUUGGAGUUUAACCCUUUCAUUGCUGUCUGCAGUUGCCUACAUUACAGGAUAAGAAAUAUCUUAGGCCUUAUCUUUUAAUAUCAGUUUGAAUAACAAAAUAAAUGCAUAUAACCAGUUCAUUUAUAGUCCAUUGACAAUAUAGUUGUAUAUAAUUAGUGUGUUUAUUAGGUUAAUAAAAAUAUAAAAUAACCUUAACAUAAAUACUCCU